Molecule: transfer RNA, 68 nt
Filed under: Marmota monax (woodchuck)
Lineage: Eukaryota; Metazoa; Chordata; Mammalia; Rodentia; Sciuridae
Description: tRNA.Ala
Source: RNAcentral
GGAUUGUGGCUUAGUGGUAGAGAGCUUGCCUAGCACAUGUGAGGCACUGAGUUCGAUCCACAGCACCA